Molecule: unclassified non-coding RNA, 280 nt
Filed under: Hevea brasiliensis (rubber tree)
Lineage: Eukaryota; Viridiplantae; Streptophyta; Magnoliopsida; Malpighiales; Euphorbiaceae
Source: RNAcentral
CAUGUGCCUUGGUUUCAUUGUCAAAUUCAUAUAUAUGGCCACACACAAGCAUUAAGGGUCCACUUUAUUUCCAUAUUAUGAAUUUUGUGGACUAGUCUGCUUUGUUCUUUUUUGAAUUAAUUUAAGAAAUAAUGAAAAAUUACAUCUGAAUUUUCUGAAUGUUUUGAUUUAGUGAUUUCUAGCCAUAAUAUUAUUAGGAAUAUACCUAAAAAAGUUAAUAUAUCAUUAAGCAUAAUUGCACCCUUUUUUUGUUUUACAGAAUUAGCCUACACAAUGCAAG